UCCCAGCUACUCAGCUACUCGGGAGACCAAGACAUGGAAUAAACUUGACAAGUGCUAAAGAUGCUCUUUGAUUUUUGUGUGGCAUGAGACCUCAGGCUGAAACUUCUCAUCUGAGCCAUUGAAGGGAGCCUCUCAUCUCUCCACUGAGAGGGGAGACCAGAAUGCUCUGUUUCUGGCAGGAAUCUGACACCACUUACUCCUUGGGUAGAAACUCCCCCAAGUCUGAACUAUGUGAUUGCCUGAGCCCUGCUCCUUGUUCAUUAAGACUGCUCCUCUGAAACGGAAUUGAUGAAUUUUUAGUGGCUAUUAGAAGCAUUUGGGAUCCAUAGGCAUCAGGGUUUGAUGCAUGGCCCUCAUCUCUGUGGGCUCCUGUGCAAUGAUUCUCAUCUGUCUUAGUUAGAAAGUGAAUUAAUCUUGACCUUGGCCUCAGGGGUGUGGUUCUCUGCCCUCUUACACAUCUUCAAUUCGCUUCUUUAUCAGAAGCACUUGUUUUAGGCCCAGGCUCCCCCAAUUUUAAUGACAUUUAGACAUUUGUCUUUAAGUU
Molecule: non-coding RNA, 544 nt
Filed under: Pan troglodytes (chimpanzee)
Lineage: Eukaryota; Metazoa; Chordata; Mammalia; Primates; Hominidae
Source: RNAcentral